CAGGGAUUGCCCUAGUAACGGCGAGUGAAGCGGCAACAGCUCAAAUUUGAAAUCUGGCUCUCGGGCCCGAGUUGUAAUUUGUAGAGGAUACUUUUGAUGCGGUGCCUUCCGAGUUUCCUGGAACGGGACGCCAUAGAGGGUGAGAGCCCCGUCUGGUUGGAUGCCAAAUCUCUGUAAAGUUCCUUCAACGAGUCGAGUAGUUUGGGAAUGCUGCUCUAAAUGGGAGGUAUAUGUCUUCUAAAGCUAAAUACCGGCCAGAGACCGAUAGCGCACAAGUAGAGUGAUCGAAAGAUGAAAAGCACUUUGAAAAGAGAGUUAAAAAGUACGUGAAAUUGUUGAAAGGGAAGCGUUUAUGACCAGACUUGGGCUUGGUUAAUCAUCUGGGGUUCUCCCCAGUGCACUUUUCCAGUCCAGGCCAGCAUCAGUUUUCCCCGGGGGAUAAAGGCGGCGGGAAUGUGGCUCUCUUCGGGGAGUGUUAUAGCCCACCGUGUAAUACCCUGGGGGGGACUGAGGUUCGCGCAUCUGCAAGGAUGCUGGCGUAAUGGUCAUCAACGACCCGUCUUGAAACACGGACCAAGGAGUCGUCUUCGUAUGCGAGUGUUCGGGUGUCAAACCCCUACGCGUAAUGAAAGUGAACGCAGGUGAGAGCUUCGGCGCAUCAUCGACCGAUCCUGAUGUUCUCGGAUGGAUUUGAGUAAGAGCAUACGGGGCCGGACCCGAAAGAAGGUGAACUAUGCCUGUAUAGGGUGAAGCCAGAGGAAACUCUGGUGGAGGCUCGCAGCGGUUCUGACGUGCAAAUCGAUCGUCAAAUAUGGGCAUGGGGGCGAAAGACUAAUCG
RNAcentral lists this ribosomal RNA (838 nucleotides) under Fusarium tardicrescens. Its description in RNAcentral is "partial large subunit ribosomal RNA". It matches the Rfam family "Eukaryotic large subunit ribosomal RNA", at positions 69 to 937 of the family's 3401-position model. RNAcentral also lists the same sequence under 1 other name. Lineage: Eukaryota; Fungi; Ascomycota; Sordariomycetes; Hypocreales; Nectriaceae. The record is from RNAcentral.